CCUACGGGAGGCAGCAGUGAGGAAUAUCGGUCAAUGGACGAGAGUCUGAACCAGCCAAGUAGCGUGAAGGAUGACUGCCCUAUGGGUUGUAAACUUCUUUUAUAUGGGAAUAAAACGUUCCACGUGUGGGAUUUUGUAUGUACCAUAUGAAUAAGGAUCGGCUAACUCCGUGCCAGCAGCCGCGGUAAUACGGAGGAUCCGAGCGUUAUCCGGAUUUAUUGGGUUUAAAGGGAGCGUAGGUGGAUGGUUAAGUCAGUUGUGAAAGUUUGCGGCUCAACCGUAAAAUUGCAGUUGAAACUGGCAGUCUUGAGUACAGUAGAGGUGGGCGGAAUUCGUGGUGUAGCGGUGAAAUGCUUAGAUAUCACGAAGAACUCCGAUUGCGAAGGCAGUUCACUGGACUGCAACUGACACUGAGGCUCGAAAGUGUGGGUAUCAAACAGGAUUAGAUACCCUUGUAGUC
This 460-nucleotide ribosomal RNA is filed under the name uncultured bacterium. RNAcentral describes it as "partial 16S ribosomal RNA". It matches the Rfam family "Bacterial small subunit ribosomal RNA", at positions 338 to 795 of the family's 1533-position model. The record is from RNAcentral.